AGUAGAAAAACGUGUUUUAUGUCGUGAACAAAUACUUUUCAUAAAAAUGGCGUUUUAUACUGUACCAAGAAGCUACUAAGAUCUUACUUAUAUUCAAUGCUUCAAUUUUUAGUGUUUAGAAUCUAACCUCACUUUCAAGCUCAAUUGUUUUAUAAGCUUUCGGAAUCUUCUAAGAUUGUUGUUGUAUAAAGGAACUGUUUUUACAACGAAACUCAGAAAAUUAUAUAAUAAUAUAUUAUAACAAGUUAAUGAUGUCUCACGCCAUUGUUAGUGAUUGUAAUGAAGAUAAUAUGAAAAAAGCGAACAACUUAUUUGCGUCUUUAAAUGUUAAUCAAAGCGAAAAUAAUGAUUCGCUUAAAAUGAGCAUAUUGUCUUAUAUUAAAGCUGUAGAUAAAAAGAAUGAAUCGGUGUUAAGUAGCAGGGCUCACCAACAUAAACAGGAAUAUGAUUUAAAUAAAAUUGUAAGCAUAACGACAGACGAUAGUGUUCAUUAUGUUAAACGUAAACGCAAAUCUUUAAUAUGUCAAGAAAAGAUUGUAGAUAAUUCUACUGAAAAUGUCGAGAAACCAAGUUUAGACUUUACUGAUGAUUUACCCCAAAAGAAACAACCAAGGAUAUCUACAGAAUCGGAAAAGCAUAUAGAACUAAAUAAUCUAAUGACAUCUGAUGAUAUCAAAGCUAUAGACAACCUUUUGGAGUGUUUAAAAACAUAUGGAAAUGUAGCCGAACUGGAAGAAGAUGUAGUCGAUCCUGCAGAAGUGACGCAAACAUCAUUGUCGACUUCAAUCAAUCACCCAACAGAAAUGACCGAAAAUGUUAUAGAGGAGUGUGUUGAGCCGAUCGGGAUAAAACCUCCACAGCAAUGUAAAGCAAAACGUAUAAUGCAUCCAAAUGAGUAUAAGAAAGCCAAUUCAGUGGUUGUUAACGAACUACGACAAAGUAAUGAAAUUAUCGGAAAAGUUAUAAAUAUGCCUAUAGCGCCGUUCACGAUACAAAUUCCACCGCAAUGUAACGUACGCAUUAGAAUAAAACACAACAAAUAUUACAAAGACAUUUUACCGGUUGUUAACGUAUACAGCAAAUCUAAGCAUAUAAAAGUAAUAAGCCUGCCUCACAAAUUAAAAUCGAUUUAUAAUGAGAACGAGAUAAAUGCAGUUUUCCAAAUAAAUCGUCCUUAGGUCCUUAGUUCAGCCGGGUAACAGUUGGCACUCAGUGAGAGCGCCUGCCGACAGAGGUCGUUUGUUUUCAAGAAAACCUGGACCCAAGCGGCCGAAGGCGCCCAAGUCCAGCAGCGACCAUGUGUGCGCAUUGCAUAGAUUUAAGAUGGUCAAUCAUUGUGUAGCUAAAAUGAGACGAUGGGCGAUAGCGUUGAUAGUAAAUGUUUUGUCUGAUAUUGAAUGGAACAUCCUUCAGUAGAUCUAUAAAAUUAAUUUCAAAAAAAUUCUCAUUACAUGUUAAUGUUGAAUUAUCAUACCAACAAUCUACAUAACUUUGUAUAUUAUUUCCACAUAUGCUGCUGAGAUAUUUCAAAGAUAUUCGUGAUAUGUAGUUAGGAAUCAGUCUUUUAUGGCUGUGACAUGAAUAGGUACGCAAGUGUUCUACCACGAAUAAUUGCUUGAGAGAGCUUGAAUAAUUCUUUGUGGAAUGCAUGUGUACGUGCAACCUGUAUAUUUUGGGAUGUGCUGUUUUACACUUUGUUUUGUUUAAAACUCCCCAAGUGUACCUUUCUUAUAACUCUGCUUUUAUUUUCUGUUUACUGGAUAUUAUUUAAUUGUUUACACAAUUAUUUUGUCCAAGUUUCUUUGUCAUUUAUUGUUCUCAGUAUAAGUAUAAUUUUAAGAUUAUAAGGCAAUAAAUACGAGUUAUCUUUUUAUAUUUAUAUUUUAUAUGUUUUUAUUUAUACUUGAGGUAAGUUUCAAUAAUAUUUCAAAUAGAAACAAUACUUCUUUUAUAAAUUAUUUAACGUUUUCCAAUAAACUGUAAAAAAUAUGGUGCUGCUUCGUUCAUAUGAUAACUCCUCUUCCAGUGCUGUGAAAGGAAAAAUAUGUAUUUUAAUCACUAAUGUUGUGAUUCUAACCUGAACUAAAACCUUUAAUAAAAGCGAAAGAAACAAGAAUGACGGUUUGUUAAAAAUUAAAAUGUGCUUAAACGUCUUUUUUUUUUCACUUUUAUAGGCUAAAAACAUAAUAAAUUUUAACGGAUUGAAAUAAUUGUAGUUCCGCCUAUAGAGAAUCUAUUUACGAAUGAAAUAAAUUCCUGGCCAAAUAA
This 2268-nucleotide unclassified non-coding RNA is filed under the name Onthophagus taurus. RNAcentral describes it as "uncharacterized LOC111417577, transcript variant X4". The record is from RNAcentral. Lineage: Eukaryota; Metazoa; Arthropoda; Insecta; Coleoptera; Scarabaeidae.